RNAcentral lists this ribosomal RNA (186 nucleotides) under uncultured Bacteroidota bacterium. RNAcentral's name for it is "uncultured Bacteroidetes bacterium partial 16S ribosomal RNA". It matches the Rfam family "Bacterial small subunit ribosomal RNA", at positions 120 to 306 of the family's 1533-position model. Lineage: Bacteria; Pseudomonadati; Bacteroidota. The record is from RNAcentral.
UGCAAUCUACCUUUCACAGAGGGAUAGCCCAGAGAAAUUUGGAUUAAUACCUCAUAGUAUUAUAGAAUGGCAUCAUUUUAUAAUUAAAGUCACAACGGUGAAAGAUGAGCAUGCGUCCCAUUAGCUAGUUGGUAAGGUAACGGCUUACCAAGGCAACGAUGGGUAGGGGUCCUGAGAGGGAGAUCC